Molecule: transfer RNA, 76 nt
Filed under: Alphaproteobacteria bacterium MarineAlpha5_Bin10
Lineage: Bacteria; Pseudomonadati; Pseudomonadota; Alphaproteobacteria
Also listed under: 3 other names
Description: tRNA-Trp
Rfam family: tRNA
About the family: Transfer RNA (tRNA) molecules are approximately 80 nucleotides in length. Their secondary structure includes four short double-helical elements and three loops (D, anti-codon, and T loops).
Source: RNAcentral
AGGAGUGUAGCUCAAUUGGUAGAGCACCGGUCUCCAAAACCGGGGGCUGCAGGUUCAAGUCCUGCCACUCCUGCCA